RNAcentral lists this long non-coding RNA (1536 nucleotides) under Homo sapiens (human). Its description in RNAcentral is "HSALNT0252989". The record is from RNAcentral. Lineage: Eukaryota; Metazoa; Chordata; Mammalia; Primates; Hominidae.
CUCUCCUGCCCUGCUCACUGUCUGACUAGCCACCCACUGUAACACCGGGUCGGUUUUGUAAACAUAUUAACUUGUUUCCGUGACUGCAAAUAUCCUGUGACUAAGAAUGCCUGAUUUCCUGGCAAUGCAGCCCAGCAGCUCUCAGCCUCAUCUGACCCAGCCCCUAUUCAAGAUGGAGACGCCCUGGUUCAGACGCCUCUGACAGAUGCUCCAAGAUGAUGUGAAGCAGAUACAAGUGCCCUUCUUGUCUCAUGGACUCAAUCAGGAGAUAUGAAGAUUGACAACUGAUUGGCAAAAGUGAAGUCACUGUGUGACCUGUCCUGAAAAGAUGGUGGCUGCAUCUAGAAACAGUGACGUGUUUGGGGAACAAUGGAGUAGAGUCAGAGACGCACCUACUAAGACAUUUUGGCUGCUGGGCACCUGAACAUGAGCAAUGUGAAGCUUCCGACCAGAAGUUUUUUGAAUUGCAUCUCUAAUGACCUAUCAGAUCAGAAGACUGGUAAACCUGGAGCCUCAUCCCAAGAGGUGAUGGUGUCUGGGUUUAUUAUGGAUCGCAGGAUGUAACUAUCAAUCUGGAGCUUUAGGGGGAAGAAGAAAGAAUAUUUUGAACCACACCAGGAGAAUUACCCUAGAGAAUAUAAGUUCACCUGCCAAAAUGGGAGGCUGGCAUCUUUUUGCUCUAUGAGAAGGCUGCUGAGCUAACAGGUCUGCCUUGGCAUAAAUGUCUAGAAGAGCAUGUGUCUCCUGGAGUAUGGGGACAUUUGUGUUUCCAUAAAUUGGCAGCUGCUUCUGGUUAGAGACUUCUAAAAGGUCUGGAAUACUGGAAUACUGGUAUAGUCCAAAAGGGGAAGAUGAAAAGGAGCCGUGGAACAUUGUACCAGGAAGAAGAUGGGACAUUACUCUCCGCAUGCCCUGGAGCUUUCGGAAGACGUAUAAGAGGAUCUUAGUUUCCAUAGCUCCACAUGAAAGAGCAAGCAGGGCUGCUGAUGUCCACUGUGGGCUCCAAGUGAGGGACUGGCCCAUGGGCAGGAGGUGAGGGAGACUUACUUGCUUUUCUCUGAGCUGGUCCACAGGAGCAGAGGAGACUGGGGUGAGCCUCACUCCAGAAUACUUGUAGAGUAUGUGACACCGGUUACCAACCUUGGCUCCACAAAAAUUACCUGUGAACCUUCUAAAAUACACAUAAGAAAUUCUUACUGAAUUGAACUGGGACGAGAUUCCACGUAUCAGGAUUCUGUAAAAGCUCCCCCAGUGACUCAAGAUGAAGUCCGGGUUGAAGACCAGUGAUAUGCAGGAAAUGUGUCCUGUGAUUUGAAACCACAUUCCAUUUGUCAAGCAAGACACUACGGCCACAUAAUGGAGAUCUACUUCCAUAUGAACCAGUGGAUUUCACUCUGCUUAAUGGAAGUGCCUUAGACUACUUCUCAAACCUCAGUCCACGUCAGAAUCACCAAAGGGCCUGAUGCAUCCCAGAUUCCAGUCCCUUCUCUCCAUCCCAGACAUUCUGCUGAGGAAAAACACCGGGCUCCAUUUGAG